Molecule: ribosomal RNA, 428 nt
Filed under: uncultured bacterium
Lineage: Bacteria
Description: partial 16S ribosomal RNA
Rfam family: Bacterial small subunit ribosomal RNA
Source: RNAcentral
GUGGGGAAUAUUGGGCAAUGGGGGCAACCCUGACCCAGCAACGCCGCGUGAGGGAAGAAGGUUUUCGGAUUGUAAACCUCUGUCCUAUGGGAAGAAGGAAGUGACGGUACCAUAGGAGGAAGCCCCGGCUAACUACGUGCCAGCAGCCGCGGUAAUACGUAGGGGGCGAGCGUUGUCCGGAAUUACUGGGCGUAAAGGGUGCGCAGGUGGCCUGACAAGUCAGAUGUGAAAUACCGAUGCUUAACGUCGGGGCUGCAUUUGAAACUAUGAGGCUGGAGUGCAGGAGAGGGAAGCGGAAUUCCUAGUGUAGCGGUGAAAUGCAUAGAUAUUAGGAGGAACACCAGUGGCGAAGGCGGCUUUCUGGACUGUAACUGACACUGAGGCACGAAAGCGUGGGGAGCAAACAGGAUUAGAAACCCCGGUAGUCC